CCCGCAACCCAGGCCCCGCCCCUCCCCCCACUUCCUGCCCCGCGCCGCCCGCCAAAAUUGGGGGGCGGGGCUGCGGGGCGAACCGGCGGGGACUCCGGGCUCUCUCCCGAGAGCUAGCAGACUCAGGGCGCUCUUCGUCGCCAGGCCCAGUCACUGUUCCUGCGCUCCCCACUCACACGGGCCGCCGGACCUCAGGGGAGGCCCUGUCGAGCGGGGCUCCCUCGCGCGGCCCUCCCGGAAGGACAGACCGGAGGGCGCACCCGGCCGGGCCCAUCCAGCUGCCUGGCCGGGUAACUCGAGACCCGCGACACGUGGCCCAGGUCCCCCCAGAGCCCCCUUCCGGUCCUCCGCGCUCCCCAGAGCAAGCAGGACCCCCGGCCGGAUUCCCUGGUCUCAGUGGGCAGAGCUGGGUCAGAGGCAGAAUUUGUCAUCUGAGUAAGGGGGAGAGGGACAGGGACCCCACUGCCGUCGGAGAAGAACAGAGACUGUCCUGGCCGGUGGGCGACAGCGUUGACAGGCGCAUGCCACCCCGGGAGGGGCUGCACGGGACGUAGAACAGCAGCUCCUGUAACCGGCACUUCGCGACCUGGGUUCCGUCCAGGCGCUGGGUUCUCCGCGCGGUCUCGCCAGGUCCCAGCCCUUCCCGCAGGGCGCUCCGCUUCGGGAGAGUGAGCAGGCGGUACCCCGGGCCUCCCAGAGGGGCGCGCGUCCUGGGGUGGCCUCUGCACUGAGGCGGAAGGAGGGGCCGUCCGGGCGUGGGCAGUGGAGGGGUCCGGCAGGGGCUGGCCAGGUUGAGUGGACCCCUCACAGGUGCAGCGAGAAGAUGGGGCCGUGGGCGACCCCCACCGCAAGUAUCUCCGGUGAAUCUGAGGGGCCAAGGGCAAGGCGAGCUCCAGCCCCAGCUGAGCCUCCGCAGGCACCCGGGACAACACCCGUCCCACCUCCCACCGGAGGCCGGGGCUGGCCUGGCCUGGUCCGGCCCCGCCCCGGGGAAGCCCCUCAGCUGUGUCUCUCCAGCGCCCCAGCCCCGUUGCCGUUGGCCUUCCGGACCCCGGUGUCAGCGCAGGCGCUGCUCUGCUGCCCCCUGGUGGAUCUGAGGGUCGAGAGGCCCAGGCUUGAGGGGCUGCCCUGGGUCUUGAGGUAGAAUAGAAGAAACACAGGAAACUCAAAAAGAAAUUCCUACGUGUUUUAAAGACACAAUAAGCCUGUAAAUUGGGCUCUGAGCCUGUGCUUUUUGCCUGUAAAUUACACUUUCUCCCCCAGGCCUCCACCACAAGGAAGCAGCGAUUCUCAACUUCAGACCAAGGCGCAGGUUUGCAUUGUGAUGCAGCUGCUGGAUGGGCAACCUGACAGCAGGACACGCAUCCUGCAUCGCCCAUCCUGGGGACACCCCAAGCCCAGCUCCUAGUCAUAACACUCCUCCCUGUCUCCCCCCCCCCCUCAGGUCCCCACUCUGUUUCACUGAGCACAUACUUUAAAUUUCUGCCUAAUAAAUCUCUUUAUGUCUUA
Heterocephalus glaber (naked mole-rat) is the source of this 1509-nucleotide long non-coding RNA. NCBI's taxonomy places the organism in Eukaryota, Metazoa, Chordata, Mammalia, Rodentia, Bathyergidae. The record is from Ensembl.